RNAcentral lists this ribosomal RNA (393 nucleotides) under uncultured bacterium. RNAcentral's name for it is "bacterial SSU rRNA". It matches the Rfam family "Bacterial small subunit ribosomal RNA", at positions 618 to 1009 of the family's 1533-position model. The record is from RNAcentral.
GAAGAGCAUUUGAAACAGCAAGACUUGAGUACAGGAGAGGGAAGCGGAAUUCCUGGUGUAGAGGUGAAAUUCGUAGAUAUCAGGAGGAACACCCAUGGCGAAGGCAGCUUUCUGGACUGAUACUGACGCUGAGGCGCGAAGGUGUGGGUAGCGAACAGGAUUAGAUACCCUGGUAGUCCACACAGUAAACGAUGUUCACUAGGUGUAGCGGGUAUUAAAACCUGCUGUGCCGGAGUUAACGCAUUAAGUGAACCGCCUGGGGAGUACGGUCGCAAGAUUAAAACUCAAAGGAAUUGACGGGGGCCCGCACAAGCGGUGGAGCAUGUGGUUUAAUUCGACGCAACGCGAAGAACCUUACCUGGAUUUGACAUCCUGUGAAUCCCCGAGAGAUCG